Molecule: ribosomal RNA, 796 nt
Filed under: uncultured Methanosarcinaceae archaeon
Lineage: Archaea; Methanobacteriati; Methanobacteriota; Methanomicrobia; Methanosarcinales; Methanosarcinaceae
Description: bacterial SSU rRNA
Rfam family: Archaeal small subunit ribosomal RNA
Source: RNAcentral
ACUGCUCAGUAACACGUGGAUAACCUGCCCUUGGGUCCGGCAUAACUCCGGGAAACUGGAGAUAAUUCCGGAUAACGCAUAUAUGCUGGAAUGCUUUAUGCGUAAAAUGGAUUCGUCUGCCCAAGGAUGGGUCUGCGGCCUAUCAGGUAGUAGUGGGUGUAAUGUACCUACUAGCCUACGACGGGUACGGGUUGUGAGAGCAAGAGCCCGGAGAUGGAUUCUGAGACAUGAAUCCCGGCCCUACGGGGCGCAGCAGGCGCGAAAACUUUACAAUGCGGGAAACCGUGAUAAGGGGACACCGAGUGCCAGCAUCAUAUGCUGGCUGUCCAGGUGUGUAAAAUACACCUGUUAGCAAGGGCCGGGCAAGACCGGUGCCAGCCGCCGCGGUAACACCGGCGGCCCGAGUGGUGAUCGUGAUUAUUGGGUCUAAAGGGUCCGUAGCCGGUUUGGUCAGUCCUCCGGGAAAUCUGAUAGCUCAACUAUUAGGCUUUCGGAGGAUACUGCCAGACUUGGAACCGGGAGAGGUAAGAGGUACUACAGGGGUAGGAGUGAAAUCUUGUAAUCCCUGUGGGACCACCUGUGGCGAAGGCGUCUUACCAGAACGGGUUCGACGGUGAGGGACGAAAGCUGGGGGCACGAACCGGAUUAGAUACCCGGGUAGUCCCAGCCGUAAACGAUGCUCGCUAGGUGUCAGGCAUGGCGCGACCGUGUCUGGUGCCGCAGGGAAGCCGUGAAGCGAGCCACCUGGUAAGUACGGCCGCAAGGCUGAAACUUAAAGGAAUUGGCGGGGGAGCAC